Molecule: ribosomal RNA, 869 nt
Filed under: uncultured archaeon
Lineage: Archaea
Description: bacterial SSU rRNA
Rfam family: Archaeal small subunit ribosomal RNA
Source: RNAcentral
CGGUUGAUCCUGCCGGAGGUUACUGCUAUCGGAGUUCGAUUAAGCCAUGCGAGUCUAAAGGUUUCUUCGGAAGCCUUGGCGGACUGCUCAGUAACACGUGGAUAACCUACCCUUGGGACUGGAAUAACCCCGGGAAACUGGGGAUAAUACCGGAUAGAUCAGGGAUGCUGGAAUGCACCUUGAUCCAAAGCUCCGGCGCCCAAGGAUGGGUCUGCGGCCUAUCAGGUUGUAGUGGGUGUAACGUACCUACUAGCCGACGACGGGUACGGGUUGUGAGAGCAAGAGCCCGGAGAUGGAUUCUGAGACACGAAUCCAGGCCCUACGGGGUGCAGCAGGCGCGAAACCUUUACAAUGUGCGAAAGCAUGAUAAGGGAACUCCGAGUGCCAGUAUCUAAUACUGGCUGUCCUUGUGCCUAAACCGCACAAGAUAGCAAGGGCCGGGUAAGACCGGUGCCAGCCGCCGCGGUAACACCGGCGGCCCGAGUGGUAGCCGCUAUUAUUGGGUCUAAAGGGUCCGUAGCCGGUUCGAUAAGUCCUCUGGGAAAUCUGGUUGCUUAACAAUCAGACUGCCAAGGGAUACUGUUGAACUUGAGACCGGGAGAGGUAAGAGGUACUUCAGGGGUAGGAGUGAAAUCUUGUAAUCCCUGGGGGACCAUCUGUGGCGAANGCGUCUUACCAGAACGGGUCUGACGGUGAGGGACGAAAGCUGGGGGCGCAAACCGGAUUAGAUACCCGGGUAGUCCCAGCCGUAAACGAUGCUCGCUAUGUGUCAGGUACGGUGUGACCGUAUCUGGUGCCGUAGGGAAGCCGUGAAGCGAGCCACCUGGGAAGUACGGUCGCAAGACUGAAACUUAAAGGAAUGNGGACAG